AUUGAACGCUGGCGGCAUGCUUUACACAUGCAAGUCGAACGGUAACAGGCCUUCGGGUGCUGACGAGUGGCGAACGGGUGAGUAAUGCAUCGGAACGUACCCAGAGGUGGGGGAUAACGCAGCGAAAGCUGUGCUAAUACCGCAUGUGAUCUGAGGAUGAAAGCGGGGGACCGAGCAGCAAUGUUUGGCCUCGCGCCUUUGGAGCGGCCGAUGUCGGAUUAGCUAGUUGGUGGGGUAAAGGCCUACCAAGGCGACGAUCCGUAGCUGGUCUGAGAGGACGAGCGGCGACACGGGGACUGAGACACGGCCGAGACGCCGACGGGAGGCAGCAGUGGGGAAGGUUGGACAAGGGGCGGAAGCCUGAUCCAGCAAUGCCGCGUGCGGGAAGAAGGCCUGCGGGUUGUAAAACGCUUUUGGCAGGAACGAAACGGUGUCCGCUAAUACCGGGCGCUAAUGACGGUACCUGCAGAAUAAGAACCGGCUAACUACGUG
RNAcentral lists this ribosomal RNA (492 nucleotides) under uncultured bacterium. RNAcentral's name for it is "partial 16S ribosomal RNA". It matches the Rfam family "Bacterial small subunit ribosomal RNA", at positions 29 to 507 of the family's 1533-position model. The record is from RNAcentral.